UUGCAUAGAAACAGCACUGGCAUAUUCAAAUACAUGCAAAGCAUUUCUUAAAUACAUAUCUAAACAUGCAAAAUUAAUACUAGUAUGUCUGUACUCGACCUCGAAGAGGACACUCAUCAUAAUACAUAUAUGCACAAUUACAACUGAAAUAAGAAGAUGUACGUGGUAUUAGUGCUAAUGAGAGACAACUCUCCACCCAUGUCACAGAGUGUAAAAAGUAAACAAUUAUAGGUCAAAUUACCGCCCUUUAACACGAAGCCUUUGCUCACGCCGAACAGCAAGCUAUAAAGGGACACAAAACGACUAAUGAAAAAACAAAUCAAACUGGAAAAUCAAUGGUUUUAUCUACUUUAAAAAAGAGAAACAAUAAACCACUUUUGAACCACAUUCUGUGUCAUUUGGUCUCUUGUGAAGAGUUGUCUCAUUGACAAUCACAAC
This 438-nucleotide long non-coding RNA is filed under the name Mytilus galloprovincialis (Mediterranean mussel). Lineage: Eukaryota; Metazoa; Mollusca; Bivalvia; Mytilida; Mytilidae. The record is from RNAcentral.